This 117-nucleotide unclassified non-coding RNA is filed under the name uncultured Archaeorhizomyces. RNAcentral describes it as "sequence contains ITS1". Lineage: Eukaryota; Fungi; Ascomycota; Archaeorhizomycetes; Archaeorhizomycetales; Archaeorhizomycetaceae. The record is from RNAcentral.
AUGAAUGACCCUCUGGGCCUUCAACCCCAAAAAACCGUGGAAUCGACCCGUGCUUCGACGCCCCCGUGGCGUCGUAUUAAUGCAAUAUCAUCUGUGUCUGAAUCUGAUCUAGAAUUA